ACACCGUUGUUGAAGUAGUUAUCAUGCUUGCCUUCCAUUGGUCUUCGAGGCAUACAAACAGCAAGCGGCUCGGGUUCGAUCCCCAAACGGUGUA
Non-coding RNA from Marasmius tenuissimus, 94 nucleotides. The record is from the annotation of a GenBank genome assembly. NCBI's taxonomy places the organism in Eukaryota, Fungi, Basidiomycota, Agaricomycetes, Agaricales, Marasmiaceae.